RNAcentral lists this long non-coding RNA (683 nucleotides) under Elaeis guineensis (African oil palm). Its description in RNAcentral is "long non-coding RNA (EGUI_LNC043709)". The record is from RNAcentral. Lineage: Eukaryota; Viridiplantae; Streptophyta; Magnoliopsida; Arecales; Arecaceae.
UGUGGUAUUUAGAAAAUUAAGUUUUGAAACACAUAUGCUUGCUUUAAACCUCAAAAUUCAACAAGGAUGGGGUUGAGCGAAAUAACUGUUAGGUGAGGGAUCCAAUGACGACCUUGCAUCUGCUUGUGAAUGAUGGAUCGGGCUUAACUAAGGAGUGUGGGUAAUGACUGUUAGGUGAGCCCAUAUGACUUAGAGAUCAAAUCACUGUAACAUGCUUAAAGAAGUAUCUGGGCAAAGAGUUGCCUACGUAUUGGUAUGCAUGUUACCAAUAACUGUUAGGUGAGAUGCAUGACAUCAGUGGGACCGCAGCACCCACUAGGAAUCUUUUGUCACAUUAAGAUUUUCAUUUCCUUCCUGGGGAGUGGAGAGAUCCGAUAAAUUAGUAGGAGUCAUUGUUUUCAUCUUAAAGUUUUUAGAAACAAAUAUAAUAUUAAGUAUAAAAAUUUAACUUGAAUCUCUACUCUCACAAUUAAACCAUGUCAGCCUCAAAUCCUUUAGCCCGCAUCCUUGAAACCAAUCGUUUGAUCAGUACAAAUUACAAAGGCUGGCUCAGAAAUCUCAAGAUUGUCCUGACCUCAGAAAAACUAAGUUAUGUACUUGACCAGGAGCCCAUAGUGUUACCAAACCAUCCUACUGUUGAGCAAAGGGUUGCUUUUGAGAAGUAGACAGAUGAAAAUAAUCAG